UUGAGCAGGUUAGCGCCGGGC
RNAcentral lists this unclassified non-coding RNA (21 nucleotides) under Chlamydomonas reinhardtii. RNAcentral describes it as "small RNA Cre_3895". The record is from RNAcentral. Lineage: Eukaryota; Viridiplantae; Chlorophyta; Chlorophyceae; Chlamydomonadales; Chlamydomonadaceae.